RNAcentral lists this ribosomal RNA (116 nucleotides) under Bacillus sp. Root131. The record is from RNAcentral. Lineage: Bacteria; Bacillati; Bacillota; Bacilli; Caryophanales; Bacillaceae.
GGACGUAAUGAUGGCAGAGAGGUCACACCCGUUCCCAUACCGAACACGGAAGUUAAGCUCUCUAGCGCCGAUGGUAGUUGGGACCUUGUCCCUGUGAGAGUAGGACGUUGCCAGGC